This 71-nucleotide transfer RNA is filed under the name Candidatus Vogelbacteria bacterium CG10_big_fil_rev_8_21_14_0_10_51_16. RNAcentral's name for it is "tRNA-Gly". It matches the Rfam family "tRNA". From Rfam's summary of the family: Transfer RNA (tRNA) molecules are approximately 80 nucleotides in length. Lineage: Bacteria; Candidatus Vogeliibacteriota. The record is from RNAcentral.
GCGGCUAUCGUUUAGUGGCAGGACGCGACCUUCCCAAGGUUGAGAUGGGAGUUCGAUUCUCCCUAGCCGCA